Molecule: long non-coding RNA, 443 nt
Filed under: Mytilus galloprovincialis (Mediterranean mussel)
Lineage: Eukaryota; Metazoa; Mollusca; Bivalvia; Mytilida; Mytilidae
Source: RNAcentral
AUGAUUAUGUCACCCUGACGGAGGUCGGGUGACAUAUUGUUAUUGUACGAUUCUUUUUUUCUUAUUAUUCUUAUUCCGCACUUUUUGUCCAGCUUAGUUCUUAGAACUGAAUGGACCAAUGUUGAUGGAACUAUAACAUAAUGUUAAUCACCAUGUGUAGUUUUGCAUCUGACUUUGGAAUUAAAAAAUGGCUGCCAUUGCCAUGGAAACAGCAAAAAUGUGAAAAAUAGAAAUGUGUUCCAAUUUAUAUGAAACUUCUAUGAUAUUAAGAGACUCAUGCACACUUCAACAUGGUACAUUUUUUUUUCAACUGGGGGGUCUCUAGACAUAAUUUGAGGGGGUAAAUUUUUCAUGGAACAUUCCAGAACAUAAGUGUUAAAUUUAUUCUUGAGACAAUAAAUGAUAUAUGAUGGUAUAUAAUUAUGGAGAGAACAAUUUGCAGC